Molecule: long non-coding RNA, 160 nt
Organism: Thalassophryne amazonica
Lineage: Eukaryota; Metazoa; Chordata; Actinopteri; Batrachoidiformes; Batrachoididae
Exons: 3
Source: RefSeq, a predicted model, not a curated record
UUGAUCUUACUGGCUCAUGGUCAAAUGUUAAAGGCUGAAUAAAUAACCGAAUUUUAAAAUUUCACAUUUCAUUGAUUUGCAUGUACGUAGAUUGUUCUACUCAUUGUAUUCCUAUAAGUCAUCAUGCACAAUCUUGAAUUAAAAGUAUUGGUUUCAAUGC